CAAGGACACCCCAUGUGUCCCAUGUCAUGCAGGAGAGGAGGGGAAGCCCCACAGAAGCUGCUUAACACCAGCAAGUCCCUCUCAUAGCAUUGUAUGGUUCCUCUUGUCUUGGCAGCCAUAGACUAUGAGAAGGAGAAUUCUAUUCUGGCUCCCAUCACUGGGCUAAAGCUGUAAAGAUGGGUGGAUGGAUGGAUGGAUGGAUGGAUGGAUGGAUGGAUGGAUGGAUGGAUGGAUGGAUGGAUGGAUGGAUGGAUGGAUGGAUGGAUGGAUGGAUGGAUGGAUGGAUAGAUGGACAGAUGGACAAAUGGAUGAACAGAUAGAUGGAUGGAUGGAGAGAUAGAUAUAGACAGGUAGAUUGACGGAUGGAUAGAUAGCUAGAUAGAUGGAUAGACGGAUAGAUAGGUGGAUGGACAUCUAGAGGAACAGAUGGGUAGAUGGAUAGAUGGACAGACGGAUGGACGGAUGGAUAGAUAGAUAGAUAGAUAGAUAGAUAGAUAGAUAGAUAGAUAGAUAGAUAGAUGGGUAGACAGACAGAUGGAUGGACGGAUGGAUGAAUGCAUAGCUGGAUGUACGGAUGGAGAGAUAGAUCAAUAGACGGAUGGAUAGAUGUAUGGGUGGAUGGAUAGAUGAACAGAUGGAUAAACAGAUAGACGGAUAGAUAGAUGGAUGGAUAGAUAGAUGGGCAGGUGAAUGGAUAGAUUGACAGAUGGACAGAUAGAUGAAUGGAUAAAUGUAUGGAUGGAGAGAUAGAUAUAUGAAUAGAUGGAUAGAUAAAUGGGCAGACAGAUGGAUAGAUGGACAGAUAGGUGAGCAGAUGGAUAGAUAGAUACGUACAUAGAUAGAUGAUAGAUGGAUGGAUAGAUCAAUAGACAGAUCAAUAGACGGAUAGAUAGAAAGGUAGUUGACGGAUCACAAAGUGGAUUUGCAGAGCAGGAAGAGAUGCAGUGGAGCUUUAAAUGCCUGUCCUUUCCUGAGCAUGCGAGGCUAUAAACGGAGCCACCUUAUUCAGGGGUGAUAAAACCUCCUGGGGGUGAUGAAAGGCACUGCUACGGGACGGGGGUCUGCUCUGGGGGUCAGCAGGACCCAGAGGGACCCAACCACACCCAGCCUGCGGGCGAUGUCCGAAACCUCUUUUUUUUUUUUUUUUUGGUAGGGUUUUUCUUCGUGUGUGAUUUUUUUUUCUGUGUGUGGUUGGUUUUUUUUUAUUAUUAUUGCUGUGGGUUUGUGGGUUUUUUUUUUCUUUUUUCUUU
Molecule: long non-coding RNA, 1250 nt
Filed under: Numida meleagris (helmeted guineafowl)
Lineage: Eukaryota; Metazoa; Chordata; Aves; Galliformes; Numididae
Description: lncRNA (ENSNMEG00000013772.1)
Source: RNAcentral